AGUACAAAGCCUUGGUAAAGAGGGAGGAUCAAGAAAGAUCUAGCAUGAAGUUAGAACCAGAGUUAUGGAUCUAGGGAAUCAGAAUCAUGAGGCUGAAAGGAACUUGGGAGUUACUUUUGUUGCUUUAGAUUAAGGUAGUUCUUAACUCUAGACAGGUGAAAUAUCUUUACAUGCUCAUUAUGAACUGCUUCCCAGAAGUUAAAAAAAAUGAAAUGCACUUCUACUCCUGUAAGGCAUCCUGGGCUACAUAAUUUCCCCUCCUCUCUGCUGACUUUAGCUGCUUCUUCUGUCAAAUGAGGUUUUGGAAUCACUAGUCUCUAAAAUCCUCUAGAUUUAGAAAGGACCUCAACCCAAACUGCAGAGAGAUUAAAAAAAAGUCACAUAAAAAGGAAAUGAUGGAAGUUGGAGUUGAAUGUGGCUCCUCUGGCUUUUAAGCCAGUGGAAAGAUAAUGGACCCAAGAAUCACGCAUCCUGAAGGCUUUGCCCACUGAACUGUGAAAACACAACUUUGCUGUUCAACUCUGCUGGAGCUCAUGGCUUAUCAGUUUUCAUUUUUGAGAAAGGUAGUUCCUUAGCCACAGAGAGUCCUCAGAAGUGAUUUUUCCAAUUUGUAUAGCAUUUCUACAUGUUUCUGCCUCUCCAUAACCUCCCUCUCAAAGGACAGCUCCCUCUUACUACCUCAGCUGUCAUAUCCCUGGAGUCAUUAUGACAAAGCUAAAGGAGCUCCCAAAUCAUAGCAGCCAGCCAUAUAUAAAGGGAGAGCCCUGUCAGAUUGGGCUGCUUUACACCAACAAAUUUGUGAGGGGGUGGUAAGGAAAACUGGGGCAGCAGAGGAAGCCUCCCCUUCGACAAGGACUUCAUCACAGAACAAUGAAGUAAAGAUGCCAAGUUUCAGAGACUACAUGUUCGGCUAUCCCUCUAAUAAUGAGAACUCUACUCAGAAAAAACAUUUAUCUCUCUGGGGGGGGAAAGUUAAAAGACAUCGGAAAAGAAAAAUAGGAAGGCAAGUAUGAACUUAAGAGUCUCUAAGAAGUCCUUCAAUAGCAACCUGUUAGAAUCCGCUCUUCUCCAUAUGUUGUUUUCUUCAGGUGUCUACAAACAACCGGAAACCACCAUGAUCAUCUGCUUUCCACCUCACCAUUUUCUGUAAAUAAACUUGCCUUCCCCUCCCUGUC
Antechinus flavipes (yellow-footed antechinus) is the source of this 1175-nucleotide long non-coding RNA. RefSeq lists it as uncharacterized. The record is from RefSeq and is a predicted model, not a curated record. The transcript has 2 exons. Lineage: Eukaryota; Metazoa; Chordata; Mammalia; Dasyuromorphia; Dasyuridae.